GCAAACNCUGGCGGCAGGCUUAACACAUGCAAGUCGAACGGGCACUUCGGUGCUAGUGGCAGACGGGUGAGUAACACGUGGGAACGUACCUUUCGGUUCGGAAUAAUUCAGGGAAACUUGGACUAAUACCGGAUAAGCCCUUCGGGGGAAAGAUUUAUCGCCGAUAGAUCGGCCCGCGUCUGAUUAGCUAGUUGGUGAGGUAAUGGCUCACCAAGGCGACGAUCAGUAGCUGGUCUGAGAGGAUGAUCAGCCACAUUGGGACUGAGACACGGCCCAAACUCCUACGGGAGGCAGCAGUGGGGAAUAUUGGACAAUGGGCGAAAGCCUGAUCCAGCCAUGCCGCGUGUGUGAUGAAGGCCUUAGGGUUGUAAAGCACUUUUGUCCGGGAAGAUAAUGACUGUACCGGAAGAAUAAGCCCCGGCUAACUUCGUGCCAGCAGCCGCGGUAAUACGAAGGGGGCUAGCGUUGCUCGGAAUCACUGGGCGUAAAGGGCGCGUAGGCGGACUCUUAAGUCGGGGGUGAAAGCCCAGGGCUCAACCCUGGAAUUGCCUUC
This 553-nucleotide ribosomal RNA is filed under the name Bradyrhizobium sp. Vcas108. RNAcentral's name for it is "bacterial SSU rRNA". It matches the Rfam family "Bacterial small subunit ribosomal RNA", at positions 29 to 628 of the family's 1533-position model. The record is from RNAcentral. Lineage: Bacteria; Pseudomonadati; Pseudomonadota; Alphaproteobacteria; Hyphomicrobiales; Nitrobacteraceae.